GAUGAACGCUAGCUACAGGCUUAACACAUGCAAGUCGAGGGGAAACGACAUUGAAAGCUUGCUUUUAAUGGGCGUCGACCGGCGCACGGGUGCGUAACGCGUAUCGAACCUGCCCUUUACUCAGGGAUAGCCUUGCGAAAGUAAGAUUAAUACCUGAUAGUGUUGUGAUGAGGCAUCUUGUUGCAACUAAAGAUUUAUUGGUAAAGGAUGGCGAUGCGUCUGAUUAGGUAGUAGGCGGGGUAAUGGCCCACCUAGCCUUCGAUCAGUAGGGGUUCUGAGAGGAAGGUCCCCCACAUUGGAACUGAGACACGGUCCAAACUCCUACGGGAGGCAGCAGUGAGGAAUAUUGGUCAAUGGACGAGAGUCUGAACCAGCCAAGUAGCGUGCAGGAUGACGGCCCUCUGGGUUGUAAACUGCUUUUAGUUGGGAACAAAAAAGGCGACGUGUCGCCUCUGGAGUGUACCAUCAGAAAAAGGACCGGCUAAUUCCGUGCCAGCAGCCGCGGUAAUACGGAAGGUCCAGGCGUUAUCCGGAUUUAUUGGGUUUAAAGGGAGCGUAGGCGGACGAUUAAGUCAGCUGUGAAAGUUUGCGGCUCAACCGUAAAAUUGCAGUUGAAACUGGUUGUCUUGAGUGCACGCAGGGAUGUUGGAAUUCAUGGUGUAGCGGUGAAAUGCUUAGAUAUCAUGAAGAACUCCGAUCGCGAAGGCAUAUGUCUGGAGUGCAACUGACGCUGAGGCUCGAAAGUGCGGGUAUCGAACAGG
Molecule: ribosomal RNA, 761 nt
Filed under: uncultured Prevotella sp.
Lineage: Bacteria; Pseudomonadati; Bacteroidota; Bacteroidia; Bacteroidales; Prevotellaceae
Description: bacterial SSU rRNA
Rfam family: Bacterial small subunit ribosomal RNA
Source: RNAcentral